Molecule: ribosomal RNA, 506 nt
Filed under: Flavobacterium sp.
Lineage: Bacteria; Pseudomonadati; Bacteroidota; Flavobacteriia; Flavobacteriales; Flavobacteriaceae
Description: bacterial SSU rRNA
Rfam family: Bacterial small subunit ribosomal RNA
Source: RNAcentral
UAUAUUUCUUCGGAGAUAGAGACCGGCGCACGGGUGCGUAACGCGUAUGCAAUCUACCUUUUACAGAGGGAUAGCCCAGAGAAAUUUGGAUUAAUACCUCAUAGUAUUACGACUCGGCAUCGAGUUGUAAUUAAAGUCACAACGGUAAAAGAUGAGCAUGCGUCCCAUUAGCUAGUUGGUAAGGUAACGGCUUACCAAGGCUACGAUGGGUAGGGGUCCUGAGAGGGAGAUCCCCCACACUGGUACUGAGACACGGACCAGACUCCUACGGGAGGCAGCAGUGAGGAAUAUUGGACAAUGGGCGCAAGCCUGAUCCAGCCAUGCCGCGUGCAGGAUGACGGUCCUAUGGAUUGUAAACUGCUUUUAUACGAGAAGAAACACUCCUUCGUGAAGGAGCUUGACGGUAUCGUAAGAAUAAGGAUCGGCUAACUCCGUGCCAGCAGCCGCGGUAAUACGGAGGAUCCAAGCGUUAUCCGGAAUCAUUGGGUUUAAAGGGUCCGUAGGCG